This 382-nucleotide ribosomal RNA is filed under the name Asiagomphus xanthenatus. Its description in RNAcentral is "partial 16S ribosomal RNA". Lineage: Eukaryota; Metazoa; Arthropoda; Insecta; Odonata; Aeshnidae. The record is from RNAcentral.
GUCCUCUUGUUUAUAUAUGAGGUCUGACCUGCCCGGUGAAAUUUGUUUUAACGGCCGCAGUAUUUUGACUGUGCAAAGGUAGCAUAAUCAUUAGUCUUUUAAUAGGGGGCUGGUAUGAAGGGUUUGACGAGGUGUUUACUGUCUCAUUUAAUUUGUAUUUAGAAUUUAACUUUUCAGUUAAAAGGCUGAAAUUGUAUUGGAAGACGAGAAGACCCUAUAGAGCUUUAUAAUUAAAAUUUUAAUUAUUUUUUGUUUAUUAUUUUUUAUUAUUAUUUUAAUUAUUUUGUUGGGGUGACAAAAAUAUAUAAUUAACUUUUCUAUUUAAUUAACAUUGAUUUAUGAUUAUUAGAUCCAUUAUUAGUGAUUGUUAGAUUAAGUUACC